UGCAGUCGAGCGAACGGAUAAGGAGCUUGCUCCUUUGAAGUUAGCGGCGGACGGGUGAGUAACACGUGGGUAACCUACCUAUAAGACUGGAAUAACUUCGGGAAACCGGAGCUAAUGCCGGAUAACAUUUGGAACCGCAUGGUUCUAAAGUAAAAGAUGGUUUUGCUAUCACUUAUAGAUGGACCCGCGCCGUAUUAGCUAGUUGGUAAGGUAACGGCUUACCAAGGCAACGAUACGUAGCCGACCUGAGAGGGUGAUCGGCCACACUGGAACUGAGACACGGUCCAGACUCCUACGGGAGGCAGCAGUAGGGAAUCUUCCGCAAUGGACGAAAGUCUGACGGAGCAACGCCGCGUGAGUGAUGAAGGUUUUCGGAUCGUAAAACUCUGUUAUUAGGGAAGAACAAAUGUGUAAGUAACUGUGCACAUCUUGACGGUACCUAAUCAGAAAGCCACGGCUAACUACGUGCCAGCAGCCGCGGUAAUACGUAGGUGGCAAGCGUUAUCCGGAAUUAUUGGGCGUAAAGCGCGCGUAGGCGGUUUCUUAAGUCUGAUGUGAAAGCCCACGGCUCAACCGUGGAGGGUCAUUGGAAACUGGGAAACUUGAGUACAGAAGAGGAAAGUGGAAUUCCAUGUGUAGCGGUGAAAUGCGCAGAGAUAUGGAGGAACACCAGUGGCGAAGGCGACUUUCUGGUCUGUAACUGACGCUGAUGUGCGAAAGCGUGGGGAUCAAACAGGAUUAGAUACCCUGGUAGUCCACGCCGUAAACGAUGAGUGCUAAGUGUUAU
Molecule: ribosomal RNA, 787 nt
Filed under: Staphylococcus sp. V25-PCA-E14
Lineage: Bacteria; Bacillati; Bacillota; Bacilli; Caryophanales; Staphylococcaceae
Description: bacterial SSU rRNA
Rfam family: Bacterial small subunit ribosomal RNA
Source: RNAcentral